GACCUCUCUUUCCUUUCUUUUUGUUGGUGCUGUUCAAACGCCGCUUUACGUUGGUAACAUCAUUUGUUGCACCGCUCCCCCACCCACUGACCCUCCCAUCCGCAGGCGUGUUGUGGUGGAUUGACGCCGGCUGUGCUCUCUAGAAUCGCACGGCCCGCCACCCAGACACGUCCAAUCUUCUCUAUCGAUGCUCCUCUCCACGUGUUACUCCCUUCUUCAACUACCGCCCUCUGACAAGCGAUUUCCGUCUCACUCAACGCGGCUCUCCCAAUGUUGGUGGAGUGUAUCGAUGGCAUGCCCGUGUGUGUUGCGCUGGUUUAUUGGUCGAUGUCGUUUGUUGUACUCCUGCUGCGCCUCUUCUGCGCUGAGUUCGCUGACCUCUCGUCGUACGGCGGUCGUAGCGCAGCUGCCGCCGUCAGCCCAGGUGUCUGCAAGGCCGAGCGCGAUCGAGAGGGAGAGUACUCCGCGGCUGUGGCGGCGACUACCCUCACGCGUUGGUGCGCUACACCGGUUCACUGGCUGGCCUCUUCGUUCUUGGGCCGGUGGCGCGUCACUCGUAAGCAGUCGUUCACCGCCUUUUACGUCACUGGCCUCGUCACAAGCACAGCCCUUUUCGGGAUUCGUUGGAUCGCCAACUGCAGCAAUGCUGCCUCCGGCCACCCCUCUCUGGUUGCCCGCUCGCCGCCGGCGCCGGCUCACCCCCUCUUAUGCGUGCCGCAAGUGCUCUUCACUCUUCACUGUGCGGUGCGCCUUACCGAGACGCGUCUUGUGCAGCGCUUCCGCGAGCAUGACACUGUGACCCUCUUUGCCGCUGUGGCGGGUAGCACGUUCUACGUUAUGGCAGCCAUUUCCAGCGCCGUGCCGAGCCACACAAUCGUCCCGCGUGCGUCUCAGUGGUUACACCGGUUACUGGUGAUGCGGUGCGUCUUCGGCGCCGGUACCGUGGCGCACCUGUCUCUGCAGGCCAUUCAGGUCACUGCGCACACGAUACUGGCGCGGCUGCGACAGCGCCCCUCGCACACGGUCUCAUCGACAAAGAAGACGCACAUGCGUGGUUGGGAGGAAGGUUUGUGGCGACGCGUGCAGGCACAUCUGGCAACCUCUAGCGCCGCCCAAGGCGAAUCGCCAAACAGGCUGUCCACGCCACCGGAGCUGUACGGGGCGUGGCGCCGGUACCGCUAUCCGUACUUCUCGAACGUGUGCUUUCAGGUGGUACUCGAUCCGCACUACACCUGUGAAGUCGCCAUGUACGCCGUGAACACGAUUCUUCUGCUCCUCUGCGUACUCCCCGAUGCAACAGAGCCCGCCACCGACAUCGCCGCUGGAGCAGCACGAGGCAUGGGGAGCCGCUUCAAGAGUGGCGAACCGCAGUGGUGCCGCAUGGCAUGUGCCAGUGUACCGUGGUUGUCGUUGCUGGCCAGUGUUGGCGUCACCGUAUUCACCGCCGCCAACCUCGGCAUCACCUCUGCAGAGCACCGACGAUUUUGGAUGGCAGCAAAUGCCACACGUCGUCUCGUUGGCAGUGCGCUGCGAAAGAUACUGGACGAGGAACAGGCAAAACCUCUCAGCAACGGCGGUGGCCGACUUCCAGCAGAGAUCGUCGACGCAGCGGAGUAUAUGCUACGGGAGGCAGUCGUUGAGGAAGUGGUGCCCAAGUGGAACGUGUUCCCACUCGUGUGGUAAUCAGAGGAUUGUAUCCUGUGGCGCGGUCGCCAGCCACCCCCUCCCACUCUUGCCGCUAAGGAUGCGAAGCCUUCAAUGAGACUCUCCCUCCUCAGGUGUCUCCGCAUGCACGCACGCACCUGUCGUCUUGGCCGCAUCCACACUGAGAGGGAGAUGGUUACUAGAACUGCAUCGAUGGCAAUCGCGCCGGCUCGAAGGAGUCAACCACGACUCAGACGUACAUCCCAUGCGUGCAGACACACAC
Molecule: unclassified non-coding RNA, 1927 nt
Filed under: Leishmania donovani
Lineage: Eukaryota; Euglenozoa; Kinetoplastea; Trypanosomatida; Trypanosomatidae
Description: gene:LdHU3.27.2150(CDS-product:hypothetical_prote in_conserved)
Source: RNAcentral